CCAGAAUGGCGGAUCUUGUCAUGUGACCGCUGGUUCGACUCCUGAGUGUCAGUGUCAGACAGGCUUCUCUGGACAGUUCUGUCAGAAUGACGUAUGUAGCGGUAACACGUGUGUAAAUGGAGCUUGUACACGUGUGUCAGUCACUGACUAUACCUGUCAGUGUGACGAAGGCUGGUUUGGAGAUAAUUGUGACACUAAUCCUUGUUCCUCUAAUGACUGUGUGAAUGGAGCUUGUUCUGCGGUAUCAGCUACGGAGUUUACAUGUCAGUGUAAUGAAGGCUGGUUUGGAGAUAAAUGUG
This is a long non-coding RNA of Saccostrea cuccullata (small rock oyster), 299 nucleotides long. RefSeq lists it as uncharacterized. The record is from RefSeq and is a predicted model, not a curated record. NCBI's taxonomy places the organism in Eukaryota, Metazoa, Mollusca, Bivalvia, Ostreida, Ostreidae. The transcript has 3 exons.